This 128-nucleotide microRNA precursor is filed under the name Cicer arietinum (chickpea). RNAcentral describes it as "MIR408 microRNA precursor family". It matches the Rfam family "MIR408 microRNA precursor family". Lineage: Eukaryota; Viridiplantae; Streptophyta; Magnoliopsida; Fabales; Fabaceae. The record is from Rfam by way of RNAcentral.
UGUUAGAGACAGCACAAAGACAGGGAACAGGCUGAGCAUGGAUGGAACUAUCGACAGAAUUGAGGAGACAACUGUCAUGGUUCCACUCAUGCACUGCCUCUUCCCUGGCUCUGUUCCAAUUACUCCUU